Molecule: ribosomal RNA, 253 nt
Filed under: uncultured prokaryote
Description: partial 16S ribosomal RNA
Rfam family: Bacterial small subunit ribosomal RNA
Source: RNAcentral
UACGGAGGGUGCAAGCGUUAAUCGGAAUUACUGGGCGUAAAGCGCGCGUAGGCGGCUUGGUCAGUCGGAUGUGAAAUCCCUGGGCUCAACCUGGGAACUGCAUUCGAUACUGCCUGGCUAGAGUGUGGGAGAGGGUGGUGGAAUUCCCGGUGUAGCGGUGAAAUGCGUAGAUAUCAGGAGGAACACCGGUGGCGAAGGCGGCUCUCUGGUCCACAACUGACGCUGAGGUGCGAAAGCUAGGGGAGCAAACGGG